GAUGAACGCUGGCGGCGUGCCUAAUACAUGCAAGUCGAGCGAACGGACGAGAAGCUUGCUUCUCUGAUGUUAGCGGCGGACGGGUGAGUAACACGUGGAUAACCUACCUAUAAGACUGGGAUAACUUCGGGAAACCGUAGCUAAUACCGGAUAAUAUUUUGAACCGCAUGGUUCAAAAGUGAAAGACGGUCUUGCUGUCACUGAUAGAUGGAUCCGCGCUGCAUUAGCUAGUUGGUAAGGUAACGGUUUACCAAGGCAACGAUGCAUAGCCGACCUGAGAGGGUGAUCGGCCACACUGGAACUGAGACACGGUCCAGACUCCUACGGGAGGCAGCAGUAGGGAAUCUUCCGCAAUGGACGAAAGCCUGACGGAGCAACGCCACGGGGGGUAUGAAGGUCUCCGGGUCGUAAACCUCUGUUAUUAGGGAAGAACAUAUGUGUAGGUAACUGUUCACAUCUUGACGGUACCUAAUCAGAAAGCCACGGCUAACUACGUG
Molecule: ribosomal RNA, 497 nt
Filed under: uncultured bacterium
Lineage: Bacteria
Description: partial 16S ribosomal RNA
Rfam family: Bacterial small subunit ribosomal RNA
Source: RNAcentral